AAUAGAAACAAUACACAGUCAUGAAAAUUCUUAGGUUGUCAAAAGGCAGCUGUUAAAAUCAUAUCUUAAGCUGUUUCACACUCUGAUCAUCAGGUUGUUCUCUGGAGCUCAGUGGUUCUUGGUGGUGUCCCACUCUCAUGUAACCACUUCCCCUCGUUCCUGUCUGCUGACUCUCUCAGUUCGAUCAAAAACACUUAAAAAUGCUGAAGAAAGAGUAAGAGGUUCAUUUCUACCUUCUGCUAUGGAGAUUUUUCAAACCAGGAUCCUGCAUCUGAAUUUGUGUGUGAUGAUUACUUUACUGACCAAUGCAGGUAUGUUGGGGCUUUUUGGCUGAUUGAGAAUCUUGAAUUGGCAUCCAUCAUGUUGGCACCAUUGAUGAAAGAGAGAUGUCUGAUUAGCUGUUCAGCUUUGCAAACCAGCACACAAGAAAAAAUGAAAUUGGCAAGACAAGCAAACUACGAAGACAAGAGGGCACAAAAAGAAGACUAUUUAAUUUUUUCAGGGCAUUCCAGUGUGUGAAUAUUUUUAUAAUAACAUGCCAAUAUGUAGCCUAAUUAAUAUAAGUGAAGGCCAACAGAUUAUAACGAUUUAUACUCAAAAUGGUAAGCAAGCUCUGCUUUAAAAAAAAAAAAAUUAUAUUCGCAUUAUUUGUUCAAAAUUUCCUUUUUUUUUAAUGACAAAUACAACUGUUAUGGACAGUUUACUCUCACUCAACUUUUUUGUCCAGGUAAAGCUGAUCUCCACUAGUUCUUUGAUGUUGAUUUGGUGUAUACCAACUUUAAGAUGAUCAAACAUUGUUUACUGUAUGCUGUGGGGUAAGAAUACAGUUGAUUUUCUGGUACAUUGCUGUUCCUAAAAAUUUUCAAAAAUAAUCAGAUGUGCACUUAAACUGAGCAAAUCAGAAACGAGUUUGGAUUGAGAAAUUGCUUUUCAGUAUGCAAUAGAGUAAGCGAGCUAUGACAUCACUUUCUAGGCGGAUCAGCUGUUAGUAUUACACUGGUUCCCUCGACAAAAGCCAAUAGGGGUUUUUCGAUAGGCUUUUGGAUUAUCGCAAAAAAUAAGCUCUGUGUUAAAUCAUAGUUCAUGAAACUUACACGUUUUGUCCAUAAAGUUAAUCUCCACAAAAUAAUAUAACUUUUAUGAAUUUUUAAGCUUAAAUAAAAGCGCCAGACCUUAAAAGCUGAACUUGGGCUAUAAACGAACUACAGCACCACAGUUCCACUUCCACGGUUGCCCGCGUCACCACCACCACACUUCCCACAACUUUUUCAGACUUUCUGUACAUUUCGAAAUAAGGUGCAUUAAAAGUCAAUAAAUCCUUUAUUAAUAAACAAUAAAAUUCUAGUGCAUUUAAUCUCUUAAAUAACAGCAGAGUGGGGGGGGGGUAUGGUAAGAUUAAACUUAUUUUAGUGAAUAAAGUACCAUAUUUCAGCUAUAAUUUUAUUAUGGAUGGUAAACAAAAUGUUAUUUUAUUCUUGCUUCUAGAAAAUCCUCAAUCUGUAACAGCUUCAUGUGGCCAUAAACAUUUAAUUUUAAUGUGGCUUUAGGCACUAUGCAUUGUAAAAGUUUCACUGUCAUCAUGACUAAGCCGGUAAAUGUGGUGUUUACAUGGAAUAAUUGUAAUAUGAGCUUACUAGAACCCAGAGUCUCCGCAUCAGUAGGAAAGCGAUAAAAUGAACAUCUUCCAAGACUUGUGAUGCAUUUCGGGGAAAAAAACAUUGUCGAACAACAAUAUAAAAUGCGAGAAACUAUUAACACUAGAAGUCCCAGAGAUUUGUAACCCUCCUUUAGCCAAGUGGAUGCUAACUGGCUAGUCUUUUGGCUAUCAUUAGCAUCAAUUAUUGUGUAAAUAUGGUCAUUACCUGAGCAAUCUGCAGGGGGGUUGGGGGUGUGUGUGUGAAUGGUUGCUGGUGGCUUGUUUGUAUGUGUGGGGGAGGGAGGGCUGCUAAAAGCAGAGAACUUGAUUGACCUCAAGAAAAGAAAAUGCAGAGAAGACUCACCACUCGGCAGGCCUUGGAAAUGAUCCUGAGUGAAGUAAACCCUUGUGACUCAGAUGGAGAAGACAUAGAACUUCAGCCGGAUUCGGACUCAGAUCUGUCUGAUCUGUCUUCAGAUGAGGAGACUGCUCCUCAACCAAAAAAGAGAGCCCGUUUGGGGACUGACCUGACAGAGACAGUGAAAGAUGGCACAGUGUGGCGUGAAGAACAGGUGGGGACGCGUCUCCCUUUCACCCCAAUCAAAGCGUAUGCUGCAGAUGGAGAGCCAACGGCUAUGGCCAGGAAAAGUAUCUCGAGUCGCCUUCAGAGCUUCCUAUUCAACAUGCACAGGAAACGGAGCAUGUUCAUUGGUUCAUGGCCCUCCCUGAACUAAUGGCAUUUAUUGCAAUUGUCAUCUUGCGGGGGCUUACCAAGGUUCCAUCACUACGUGACUGCUGGUCAGCAAACCUGGGAAACCCACAUAUCAUUGGAACAAUGCCGCGAAACCGCUUCCAAGACAUCAUGCGACACCUACGCUUUGAUGACAGGUCCACCCGGAGUGAUCGAGCAAAGACUGAUAAGUUUGCUGCAAUUUCCAGUGUGUGGGGAUCAAGUGUGUCAUUGUGUCAUUGUGUGUAAAAGUGCUAUGAAAAUAACAAUUUAUCUUAUUUAUUAGGUGUUUUCAACCACUGCUGCUACGCUGACGGCGUAUGCGCCCAAACGGAAGAAGACCGUCUACAUUCUUAGCAGCAUGCACAGCGUGAUUCAGACUGAUAAUACCACCAAAAGGAAGCCAAACACUGUCACCCUUUACAACACCACAAAGUGCGGCGUGGAUGUGAUGGACCAGAUGGUGCGGGAGUACACUAUCCGCACAGGGACACGGCGCUGGCCAGUUGCCGUGUUCUAUAACAUGAUUGACAUGGCAGCACUGAAUGCACAUGUGCUGUAUCAAGCAUCCACCGAAAGGCAGGAAAGACGGGUGGACUUCCUGGUGGAGCUUGCAAGAGAGUUGGCUAACUCUCAUAUGUGUGCGAAGAAGGCAAGAAAAGAACAAUUGCUUCGGACACAACCCUCCACACCUAGCCCUGGAAAAAGAGCCAUGUGUCAGGUCAAACACCAAUGCAAGAACAAUCAUGCCACUGUGCGAUGUGUUCACUGCUACAGAUACACAUGUGGUAAAUGCAGACGGGAGAUACCAUGGCAGUGCCAGGAUUGUGAGUGAUUGCUGGAUUACUCACUCACUUUUUAAUAUUAUUUGUAAAUAUGUGUACAAAUGGUUGGUUUCUUUAUUUUAUUUUGUACUAUUUUUAUCAAUAAAUCUCAGCAACAAAGGAAAAAAAAAACAUGUGUGUUGAUUUCUCCCUAAGAUGGCAAAGUGAAACACAAGUUUCCUUGAAGUGGCUCAGCAUGGCCCCAAAUUGUUUACAUAACAAAAGCAACUGUUCACAGCUGAUUAAGGAUAUUAGCCUAAAGCCUUCCAGCCCAUCGGCUGUCCUGCGGGUUUUAUAGGUAGAAAAGCCAAAUGGCUGCUCUCUGGGACUUCUAGUGUUAAUUGGUUAUUCUACAAUUAAUUGUACUAUAAAUUACACUGCAAUUGGAAAAUAAUGUAAACUAAUAAACUGUUUGGCGUGAUGAUGUUUAAUGUCUCCAACAGGGCCUGUAGUUACAUUUAGCAACUUGUUAGCAACCACCUUCUUAAAGAAACUUAACAGAUAAAAAAAACUUACAUUCAAAAAACCCAUUGACUCUGGGACGAUGGAACCAGAAGUGCUAAAAUGGGUUGUUGCCUACAAAAUGACAUCAUAGUUCCACCACUAUAUAUGCAUUAGGUGAUCACUGAAAGAAAUGUGAGUGAUUUGGUGAGCAGAUGCUCAUGGCUCUCCAGUCUAGUGUUUGUUUAAGUAUUGUCAAAUUGCACUUUUGCAUUUCUUCUUCAUCUUGUCUUGCCACAUGACAAAAUUUUAUACUUACUAUAAUUAGUACUACCUAGUUCCAGCGGAACAUGACUGUGUGAAAAAGUCAACCUUUAGAAUAUCACCUCCCUGUUCCCUUUAGGCCUAAUAAAUAUACUUCCUGUUUCUCUAUGUAGUUCUAGGUUGUGGGAUUACAGAUUUAUAAAAUGUUAAAUCUAGGUUCCAAUGUAAUAUUAUGUACAUUGUGUUUUUACAUUUUGAGGUUAAGAUGAUGACAUUCUGAGAUGAUCAAGUCAAACAGCCCAGGUUUCUGAGAUAUUGACCUUUUGUUUGCUCUUCCUGACCAUCUGGCUUCUUAAGAUCAAGGCACAGCUGUGCCUUUGUUUCUAUGAUAAUGUGAAGGUAUGGGUGAUACUGUCAGGCACCUCUGUAUUUAAAUGACACUUUAAUGCUGAUGAGAUCAAGGCUUCAAAUUCCAUUUGCUUGCUUUGUUUAAAUUGUCUCCACCUCUAUGUAUCCCUCCCCCUUGAAAUGUAUAUAAACUCCAAAAUAUCACUGCUUUGGUGAGACUUUUGAUGACGGCAGUGCUAAGCAGAGCGUUCUCAAUAAAGAAUUCUGCUGAAGAUUACCCAAGAGUCUCCUGGUCUUCGCUUCAGAGUUUCCAACAGUUUUGGUGCCGUGCCCUGGAUAGAGCUUCUCACCUGAAUCCAGCUAUCCUCUGCUUUGCCAGGGAAAGUUAACAGGUGUGUUAACAAGUGUAUCCUCUGCUUGCCAGGGAAGUGUUAGAAGUGUCCUGUUGUGUCAGAAAGACUUUACAAAAUGUUGAGAAGGAAUGCUAAGCUGAUUCCAACAACUAAGAAAGGUGGACUAGCUACUCCUUCAUGGACAGACAGUGAGUUCAAAUCAUUUUUAGGACAGCACAUGGACUCAAUAGUGACAGAGUCAGUCAGAUUGAAUUUGAUAAAGAAAUUUGGUAUUGAUCCAGAAAAAGUAUGGUCAGUUGAAGAAUGUAAAAAGGUACUAGGAUCAUGUAUUCGCAAAAACAAUGUGAAAGGCAUUAUCUGCUGCCACAGAGAAUUUGGUUUAGCUUUAGCUACGCAACAUUCUCAGCGUAACUCAGAGCUAGAGAAACAGAACAAAGAGCUCAGAGCUAGAGUAUCCUCUUUGACUAAGGAAUUAAACUGCAGCAAAAUCUGAUGUGGUAGAAGUUAGUCAGCCUGAUAACAUUUAUCCUGACUUACAAGCUUUCUUUGAAACAGAUGUAGCCAUCCAGUCAGUAACUGAUGUGCCUGUAAAUUCAGUGAAGGUAUGUGGAGCUAGGAGAAGUUCUCAGGGAAUUGAGGGAACUGAAAGUGUUCCUCCCAACUCUUCUGUUGUCCGAGCUGUUGCCAAAGCGCUAAGACCUAAAGAUAUAGAGAGACUAUCCCAGAGUUUACUGAACGCACAAAUUUUACUGAAUUCAGAAGAGCAUUGAUCAGCAAAAUGAGUCUCUAUGACAUGUCGUUAGCAGAAGUCACACAGCUGAUGUCACAAAUUCUAACUGAAUCUGAAUUCAACAGUUUUGAGUGUGCUGUUACUUCUGAACUAUAACAUGCCAGUAAAGAUGAAUUAAGAGAGGGAGUUCUGAGAGAGUUAAAGAACAUUGUUAGACCAAAAGUGAAUUGGUCAAAGGUCACUAGUUGUGUACAGAAGGAGGCUGAAGCUGUGAGUGAAUACACUGAAAGAUUUUGAAAGUCACCAGUAACUUACAGUGGAAUAGUUGAUGAUCCUGAAAGUGUGUUAGAUGGGACCAUUAGUCCGCAUCUGGUCAGAUGGCCUUGUAGCUGAGUACAGAAAAGCCUUGCCAUUCCUAGAUCUAACUUGGUCUAACAAAACUCUCAGAAGAAAUCUAGACAGUUUAGCUACAUGGGAAAGAGACUCUGAUGUUAAAGUCAGAGUACACAUUGCAGCAGCAUCCUUUCAUGUCAACACAGUGAACCGACAGAAAUGUAGAUGUCUUAAGAAGGAGCGCAGUUGUCAUUACUGUGGUAAAACUGGACACUGGAUGAAAAAGUGUAGGAAUAGCAAAAAGACAUUAAGAGAAAUGAACAGCUUUACUCAGCUCCUAUUGAGUCUACUUACCACUCUAAAGCAGCCCCUCCCCACUUCACCUAACUGUUGAAGCAGCUUGCUCAGGUGUUAACUGUUAGGGCUGUGAGUGCUUAACUACCCCAGUAAUGUAUAACAAAGAUGAAAGAUUCUUUGAAAAUAAAACUACAGGAAGGUGACUGUCACUUCCUUUCAUUGAGAGAACGUUAAGUACACUCUCAGCCUUCAAAGCUAUAUUACAGCACACUCCAGUCACUCCUAUUCUCUUUGGGUUAUGAUGUUUUGUUAUGACUGAUGUUCCAUUAGAGGAUGGAGAUGUUGUACAGUCAAGUUUGCACACCAACUACAGGGACAGAUUAGGACACACACAGACCAGUGGGGAGCCCAAGGAAGAACCAAAGUGCAACGGGCCUCGGGGGCCAACCCUGUGGUGAAGACUUCCUCAUAGGUUUCCCCUAUCAGUAGUUUUAUCCCCACCUCACUGGUCCAUAGGUGUCAAAUUACUUAAAACUAGGUUGAGAAAAACACUAUACGAUCACCAGACUUAAAACCACUAUACGAUCAACAGAAGUCUAAAAAUGUCUAUGCAUGAAUACUGCUGGUCUGCUGUUUCUUUGUUUUCUUGUGUUGCAGGUAUGUGUGCAUGCCAUGUCACCUUCAUAUGCGGCACCCUGGUGUAAAGCAUCACCUAAGACAUCCAUGAACAAGCUUCAUGAGGACCAGGCGUCUCUACGUGGGAAAUGGACUACAGAAAACAGACUUCACAGCUAUUCAGGCGCCAUGGACUUCAAGACUUCCACUCUUAUGCUACAUGGUUUUCUGUGUCAUCAUGUAGUUUCCACGACAUGUUACCAUCCAUGUCAUAUGUGUCCACAGUUAUGGUUCUAAAAAUAACUAUUACACCUAAGUAAAUCUAGGACAAGACACAGAAUAAGAUAUGUGCCUUUUCAGGUUACAUGACUGCAAGAUGGGGCUUAUGUUAACACACAUAGGCCAUAGAAUGGACUUAUGAAGGUUUAAAUUUGUAUUAUGUGAGAGUUAUUAGAACUCUCAAUGGGAGGACUGUAGGAUUACAAAUUUAUAAAAUGUUAAAUCUAGGUUCCAAUGUAAUAGUAUGUACAUUGUGUUUUUACAUUUUGAGGUUAAAGGGUACAUAACAUACACAGUUUCACCAAAUCUCAUGUUAAUCUUUAGUACCUAUAGAGUAGUACUGCAUCCUUCAUAUCUCCAAAUAGUCUUUAGUUUUAUCAUAUUUAUAAAAGAAAAAUACAGCUUUCCGAUUCUCUCCGGAAAAAGCAGAGCUCCUGGAGGCGUGCCGUGGGUGGAGCUAUAAUACUGAUGUUUCGUGUUGUUUCCAUUAACAUACAGUAUAUUCACUUAUGUGCGAAUUUCCUACAAAAGACAGAAAUCUGAUGCAGUUGUACUUACAUGAAUUGGGUCUUUCAUCACUGGGUCCGCUCCAUUAUUUAAUAGCAAACCAUGUGAAAAUCCAGCGUCGACCUAGGCCUUGACUGAAAUGACGAGAACACACUGCAACACUCCGUUGCUGCCCCGGAAAAACAAACUGCAUCCACUCUGUGCCUUUGUUUCUAUGAUAAUGUGAAGGUAUGGGUGAUACUGUCAGGGACCUCUGUAUUUAAAUGACACUGUUAUGCUGAUGAGAUCAAGGCUGGGAAAAUGCCAGUGUCUGGCAUUUUCCUGAUUCCAUUUGCUUGCUUUGUUUAAAUUGUCUCCAACUCUAUGUAUCCCUCCCCCUUGAAAUGUAUAUAAACUCCAAAAUAUCACUGCUUUGGUGAGACUUUUGAUGACUGCAGCGCCAUCCAGCGCGUUCUCAAUAAAGAAUUCUG
Cyprinus carpio carpio is the source of this 7827-nucleotide long non-coding RNA. Lineage: Eukaryota; Metazoa; Chordata; Actinopteri; Cypriniformes; Cyprinidae. The record is from Ensembl.